AUCUAUGGCCAUACUACCCUGAACGCGCCCUAUCUCGUCUGAUCUCAGAAGCUAAGCAGGGUCGGGCCUGGUUAGUACUUGGAUGGGAGAUUAGUGGUUGCCAGGGGCUGGAGGGA
Mustela putorius furo (domestic ferret) is the source of this 116-nucleotide ribosomal RNA. Lineage: Eukaryota; Metazoa; Chordata; Mammalia; Carnivora; Mustelidae. The record is from Ensembl.